RNAcentral lists this ribosomal RNA (497 nucleotides) under uncultured bacterium. Its description in RNAcentral is "partial 16S ribosomal RNA". It matches the Rfam family "Bacterial small subunit ribosomal RNA", at positions 28 to 507 of the family's 1533-position model. The record is from RNAcentral.
GACGAACGCUGGCGGCGUGCCUAAUACAUGCAAGUCGAACGAACGGAUAAAGAGCUUGCUCUUUUGAAGUUAGUGGCGGACGGGUGAGUAACACGUGGGUAACCUGCCUCACAGCUGGGGAUAACAUCGAGAAAUCGAUGCUAAUACCGAAUGUGCUGAACAUCAUAAGAUGUUCAAGUGAAAGACGGUUUCGGCUGUCACUGUGAGAUGGACCCGCGCUGGAUUAGCUAGUUGGUAAGGUAAUGGCUUACCAAGGCGACGAUCCAUAGCCGACCUGAGAGGGUGAUCGGCCACAUUGGGACUGAGACACGGCCAAAACUCCUACGGGAGGCAGCAGUAGGGAAUCUUCGGCAAUGGACGAAAGUCUGACCGAGCAACGCCGCGUGAGCGAAGAAGGCCUUCGGGUCGUAAAGCUCUGUUGUUAGAGAAGAACAUGGGUGAGAGUAACUGUUCACCCCUUGACGGUAUCUAACCAGAAAGCCACGGCUAACUACGUG